GUACAGUUCCGGUUCCCCGCGUCCGUGUCCGCGAACUUCCGCGUGGCCCCGGUGCGGGCGCCGGCUUGGGUUAGCUCGGAAGGGGUACCGCUAAGUCCGGAGCAGGCAUCCUCCCCUUGCGACGCCCUGGUUUGCAGCUCUGCGGAUUUUCUGCAGGCAGCCGCCCCAAGAAGCGGGGGAUGGGGGCGGGAGCCCGUGCGACCCCCCCGCCCCGGAGGGGUGUGCGGGAAGCCGCUCGAGCGCCGCCCGCGGGCUAGCCUCGGGCCGCGGAGGGCGGCUGAGUGUGGAGGAGACCCGGCCCUGGAGGUGAGACGCUGGGCGCGUUGAGGCCCGGAGGUCGCCGCAAGGAGCCCAUAGCGGUGGCCCGAGCCCACCCUGCUGUACCAUUGAGCGGGACUGAGGGGCCCGAAGUGCCCUUCCAGGGGGAGGGGCCCAGGAUCGAGACCCCGCCCUCCAAGCACGUGGCCUGGGGAAUGGGGGAGCCCUUUAAGAAGACCUGAGUGACUCACGGGGGAAGGGACAAGGGUACUCAAAGAUCUCUGUGAGACGGCGGUGCCAAGAGUCUCUGAGGAUCUGCCUUGCACCUACUCCACUCCCUUCUCCAACCGGGACAUCCAGCAGGGGAGAGUUCCCCCUCAGGGAAGACUCCUGCUCCGGGAUCUAUUCCCAGACGGAGGGACACACAGGCACUGUUGCCUGUGACACAGGCCAUGGAGCUGAGGAAUAGAGACUACCAUGUGGAGCGGCCACUGAUGAACCAGCAACAGCUGGAGGAGCUGGGGCAACGGACUUCAGCCACCAGGACCUACCAGUGGCGAACCUGGUUUCAGUGCUCCCGUGCUCGGGCCCGAGCCCUUCUGUUCCAGUACCUCCCAGUUUUGUCCUGGCUACCCCGGUAUCCCUUGCGUGAUUGGCUCCUGGGCGACCUUUUGGCUGGCCUGAGUGUGGCCAUUAUGCAGCUCCCACAGGGCCUAGCCUAUGCCCUCCUGGCUGGACUGCCCCCUGUGUUCGGCCUCUACAGCUCUUUCUAUCCUGUCUUUGUCUACUUCCUGUUUGGCACUUCCCGGCACAUCUCCGUGGGCACCUUUGCUGUCAUGUCUGUGAUGGUGGGCAGUGUGACAGAAUCCCUGGCCCCGGAUGAGAACUUCCUGCAGGGUGUGAAUGCCACCGUGGAUGAGGUGGCCAGAGACCACUUCCGGGUGCAGCUGGCCUCCACGCUCAGUGUCCUUGUCGGCCUCUUCCAGGUGGGGCUGGGUCUGGUCCGCUUCGGCUUCGUGGUUACCUACCUGUCGGAGCCCCUCGUCCGAGGCUAUACCACAGCCGCGUCCGUGCAGGUCUUCGUCUCACAGCUCAAGUAUGUGUUUGGCCUCCAGCUGAGCAGCCGCUCUGGGCCGCUGUCCCUCAUCUAUACAGUGCUGGAGGUCUGCUCGCUGCUGCCUCGGAGUGUGGUCGGCACGGUGGUCACUGCGUUGGUGUCAGGGGUGGUACUAGUGCUGCUGAAGCUGCUCAGCGACAAGCUGCACCGAUACCUGCCCAUGCCGAUCCCUGGGGAGCUGCUCACGCUCAUCGGGGCCACAGGCAUCUCCUAUGGCGUGGGCCUGAAGUCUAGAUUUGGGGUGGAUGUUGUGGGCGACAUCCCUGCAGGGCUCGUGCCCCCAGCGGCCCCCAGCCCCCAGCUGUUCGCCAGCCUGGUGGGAUAUGCCUUCACCAUCGCUGUGGUUGGUUUUGCCAUUGCCAUCUCCCUGGGGAAGAUCUUCGCCCUGAGGCACGGCUACCGGGUGGACAGCAACCAGGAGCUGGUGGCUCUCGGCCUCAGUAACCUCAUUGGGGGCAUCUUCCAGUGCUUCCCCGUGAGCUGCUCCAUGUCCCGCAGCCUGGUGCAGGAGGGCUCUGGGGGCAACACACAGGUGGCUGGAGCUGUCUCCUCCCUCUUUAUCCUCAUUAUCAUCGUCAAACUUGGGGAGCUCUUCAGAGAUCUGCCCAAGGCUGUGCUGGCGGCUGCCAUUAUCGUGAACUUGAAGGGUAUGUUGAAGCAGUUCACCGACAUUCCUUCCCUCUGGAAGUCAAAUCGAAUGGAUCUGCUCAUCUGGCUGGUGACCUUUGUGGCCACCAUCUUGCUGAACCUGGACAUAGGCCUGGCGAUCGCUGUCGUCUUCUCCCUGCUCCUCGUGGUCUUCCGCACGCAGCUGCCCCGCUACUCUGUCUUGGGGCAGGUACCAGACACGGAUAUUUACCAAGAUGUGGCCGAAUACUCAGAGGCCAGGGAGGUCCCAGGCGUGAAGGUCUUCCGCUCCUCGGCCACCUUGUACUUCGCUAAUGCUGAGCUCUACAGCGACGCGCUGAAGAAGAGGUGUGGUGUGGACGUUGACCACCUCAUCUCGAAGAAGAAGAAGUGGCUCAGGAAGCAGGAGCAGAAGCUGAAACGGAUGCAGAAGACCCUCCAGAAACAGACUGCUGCCUCCGAGGGCACUUCUGUUUCCGUCCAAGUCAACACCAACAUCAGAGACGUGGAGAGCAACAAUGUGGACGACUCCACGGCCAGGCAGGCGAGCGCAGGGAAAGAGCUAGAGGAUACAACAAGCAGCGGUCAAGAAGAUGCCAAGGCCGCAAACGGGUCCACACUGAAGGCCCUGGGCCUGCCUCAGCCACACUUCCACAGCCUCGUUCUGGACCUGGGCGCCCUCUCCUUCGUGGACACUGUGUGCAUCAAGAGCCUGAAGAACAUUUUCCGCGAUUUCCGAGAGAUCGAGGUGGAGGUGUACAUGGCUGCCUGCCACGUGGUUCCGCAAGUCAGGGGAGACCUACUCCUUGCCCACAGCUCCUGUGGUCUCCCAGCUUGAGGCUGGGCACUUCUUCGAUGCAUCAGUCACUAAGCAGCAUCUCUUUGCUUCUGUCCACGAUGCUGUGCUCUUUGCCCUCCAGCACCCGCGGUCCAGCCCUGCCAGCCCUGUUUUGACAACCAAACUCUGACAGUGCCUCCGCCCUGCCUACCACUGCUCACCUCUGGAGGCUGUGACCAGGCGCUUAUGAGAAACUCCCUGCCCCCGGGCUGCCUCCAGACGUCACCCAGGAGUCCCCUCCAUAUACACACACACACAAGCUCAGGGAUGGAGGUCCUGGAAUUCCCAAGUUCAGUGCCAUAGGCCUGGGCCUGGGAUGGGGCACUGGAGUCAGACCGGCACCAGCUGGGCUGGGGAAAGAUCCAUGUUUUUAGCCCCAGAAAUAAACACCUGUUUGCCUACCA
RNA transcript from Lutra lutra (Eurasian river otter), 3244 nucleotides. It is a transcript of the gene named solute carrier family 26 member 6, with no coding region annotated. NCBI's taxonomy places the organism in Eukaryota, Metazoa, Chordata, Mammalia, Carnivora, Mustelidae. The transcript has 22 exons. The record is from RefSeq and is a predicted model, not a curated record.